GACGAACGCUGGCGGCGUGCUUAACACAUGCAAGUCGAACGGAAAGGCCCUGCUUUUGUGGGGUGCUCGAGUGGCGAACGGGUGAGUAACACGUGAGUAACCUGCCCUUGACUUUGGGAUAACUUCAGGAAACUGGGGCUAAUACCGGAUAGGAGCUCCUGCUGCAUGGUGGGGGUUGGAAAGUUUCGGCGGUUGGGGAUGGACUCGCGGCUUAUCAGCUUGUUGGUGGGGUAGUGGCUUACCAAGGCUUUGACGGGUAGCCGGCCUGAGAGGGUGACCGGCCACAGUGGGAAUGAGCUACGGCACGGACCGACACGGGAGGCAGCAGUGGGGCAGAUUGCAUAAUGGGCUGAAGCUUGACGAAGUCCCGCCGCGGGCGGGAUGAGUGACUUCGGGUAGUAAACAACUUUCGCCUGGGGCGAAGCGUGAGUGACGGUACGGUGUAAAGAAGCACCGGCUAACUACGUG
Molecule: ribosomal RNA, 468 nt
Filed under: uncultured bacterium
Lineage: Bacteria
Description: partial 16S ribosomal RNA
Rfam family: Bacterial small subunit ribosomal RNA
Source: RNAcentral